GGUGAGUAACGCGUAGGAAUCUGCCUCAUAGUGGGGGACAACGUGGGGAAACUCACGCUAAUACCGCAUACGCCCUACGGGGGAAAGCGGGGGAUCUUCGGACCUCGCGCUAUGAGAUGAGCCUGCGUUAGAUUAGCUAGUUGGUGGGGUAAAGGCCUACCAAGGCGACGAUCUAUAGCUGGUCUGAGAGGACGAUCAGCCACACUGGGACUGAGACACGGCCCAGACUCCUACGGGAGGCAGCAGUGGGGAAUAUUGGACAAUGGGCGAAAGCCUGAUCCAGCAAUACCGCGUGUGUGAAGAAGGCCUUCGGGUUGUAAAGCACUUUCAAUUGGGAGGAAAACCUACCGGUCAAUACCCGGUAGCUUGACAUUACCUUUAGAAGAAGCACCGGCUAACUCCGUGCCAGCAGCCGCGGUAAUACGGAGGGUGCGAGCGUUAAUCGGAAUUACUGGGCGUAAAGCGUGCGUAGGCGGUUCGUUAAGUCAGAUGUGAAAGCCCUGGGCUCAACCUGGGAACGGCAUUUGAAACUGGCGGACUAGAGUUUAGUAGAGGGGAGUGGAAUUUCAGGUGUAGCGGUGAAAUGCGUAGAUAUCUGAAGGAACACUAGUGGCGGAGGCGACUCUCUGGACUAGGAACUGACGCUGAGGUACGAAAGCGUGGGUAGCAAACAGGAUUAGAUACCCUGCUAGUCCACGCUGUAAACGAUGUCAACUAGCCGUUGGUCCUAUUUACAGGAUUAGUGGCGCAGCUCACGCAUUAAGUUGACCGCCUGGGGAGUACGGCCCGCAAGUUUA
This 797-nucleotide ribosomal RNA is filed under the name uncultured bacterium. RNAcentral describes it as "bacterial SSU rRNA". It matches the Rfam family "Bacterial small subunit ribosomal RNA", at positions 105 to 896 of the family's 1533-position model. The record is from RNAcentral.